CUCGUGCGCAGACUCGGGGCGGAGGUUUUGUCAGAAAGGUUGACGCAAUCGCGCACUUACGGGGAGGGGACUUGUGGAGCCAGUAUGAUGGAGCUCUCUGAAGAUAAGAGAUCUGUGGAAAUGCUUUGAAGUCUCCUUCACCAUACCCCUCUUCUUUUUUUUUUUUUUUUUUUGAGCAUGAACUAUAAAGCAGCAAUUUUUCAGGCGGGGGGGGGGACACUGGACUUCCAGUUAGUCAAUGAUAUUUAUCAAAUACUUAUUAUAUAUUAUGCACUCUAUAGGCUCUAAGAAAACAACAAUGAACAAAAAGAACCUCAUACAAUCUGACGAGAAGGACAAGUACUAAAUAAUGGUGAUAAAUAAAAUCAAGUGAAUUCCACAAAUGUGUAAAAUUCUGACUAUAGGAAGCACGUGGUGGUCUGGAAUCAACUCACAGAAACUCCAAGGUAUGCCUGUAUAAGCUGAGCCCUGAAGGAUGAGCAAGCGGAGAGAUGAAGAGUUUCCAGUGCAAAAGAAACAGCAUGUGCCCAGAGCCUUCCCAGUUACUGGAUGGGGGUUUGUGAUACAAGCAUUUCAUUUACUAAAUGCACUUGUCUAAAGUUGGUCAUCGACUCUCCACUCCCAAUGCAAGGGGCCUGGUUUCGAUCCCUGCUCGGGAAACUAGAUCCUAUCUGCUGCAUCUAGUUCAUGUGCUGCAACUAAAGACUCCACGUGCCACAACCAAGACCCAACAGAGCCAAAGAAAUAAAAGUAAAUAAAAAUAAAGUUGGUC
Capra hircus (goat) is the source of this 772-nucleotide long non-coding RNA. RefSeq lists it as uncharacterized. The record is from RefSeq and is a predicted model, not a curated record. The transcript is spliced from 3 exons. Lineage: Eukaryota; Metazoa; Chordata; Mammalia; Artiodactyla; Bovidae.